RNAcentral lists this ribosomal RNA (498 nucleotides) under uncultured bacterium. Its description in RNAcentral is "partial 16S ribosomal RNA". It matches the Rfam family "Bacterial small subunit ribosomal RNA", at positions 28 to 523 of the family's 1533-position model. The record is from RNAcentral.
GAUGAACGCUAGCUACAGGCUUAACACAUGCAAGUCGAGGGGUAGCAGGGUAGCAAUACCGCUGACGACCGGCGCACGGGUGAGUAACACGUAUCCAACCUUCCCAUAACUCGGGGAUAGCCUUUCGAAAGAAAGAUUAAUACCCGAUAGUACUGUUUCAAGGCAUCUUGAGAAAGCUAAAGAUUUAUUGGUUAUGGAUGGGGAUGCGUUCCAUUAGAUAGUUGGUGAGGUAACGGCUCACCAAGUCUUCGAUGGAUAGGGGUGCGGAGAGGAAGGUCCCCCACAUUGGUACUGAGACACGGACCAAACUCCUACGGGAGGCAGCAGUGAGGAAUAUUGGUCAAUGGGCGAGAGGCUGAACCAGCCAAGUAGCGUGAAGGAUGAGGGUCCUAUGGAUUGUAAACUUCUUUUAUAGUAGAAUAAAGUGAUCCACGUGUGGAUUUUUGUAUGUAUACUAUGAAUAAGGAUCGGCUAACUCCGUGCCAGCCGCCGCCGUAA